AGAUGUCUAGCCUGCCCAGUGACAUAGUUUAACGGCCGCGGUACCCUAACCGUGCGAAGGUAGCAUAAUCACUUGUUCUCUAAAUAGGGACUCGUAUCAACGGCAUCACGAGGGCUGUACUGUCUCCUUUCUCCAAUCAGUGAAACUGAUCUCCCCGUGAAGAAGCGGGGAUUAACAUAUAAGACGAGAAGACCCCAUGGAGCUUUAAACCCAAUAUACACCUCUACGCACUCAAAUCAAUAUAGCCCAAGAACCUUGUGUAUUGGUUUUAGGUUGGGGGGACCGCGGAGUAAAGUCAAACCUCCACAACAGACGGAUUAACACCCUUAUCCAUGAACUACAAUUCUAAGAGCCAAUAAAUUGUUGUCUAAUGACCCAAUUACUUGAUCAACGAACCAAGUUACCCUGGGGAUAACAGCGCAAUCUACUUCAAGAGCCCCUAUCGACAAGUAGGUUUACGACCUCGAUGUUGGAUCAGGGUAUCCUAGUGGUGCAGCCGCUACUAAAGGUUCGUUUGUUCAACGAUUAAAACCCUACGUGAUCUG
RNAcentral lists this ribosomal RNA (545 nucleotides) under Amolops medogensis (Medong torrent frog). RNAcentral describes it as "partial large subunit ribosomal RNA". It matches the Rfam family "Bacterial large subunit ribosomal RNA", at positions 1848 to 2607 of the family's 2925-position model. The record is from RNAcentral. Lineage: Eukaryota; Metazoa; Chordata; Amphibia; Anura; Ranidae.